This 472-nucleotide ribosomal RNA is filed under the name Variovorax paradoxus. RNAcentral describes it as "bacterial SSU rRNA". It matches the Rfam family "Bacterial small subunit ribosomal RNA", at positions 933 to 1405 of the family's 1533-position model. The record is from RNAcentral. Lineage: Bacteria; Pseudomonadati; Pseudomonadota; Betaproteobacteria; Burkholderiales; Comamonadaceae.
UGGAUGAUGUGGUUUAAUUCGAUGCAACGCGAAAAACCUUACCCACCUUUGACAUGUACGGAAUUUGCCAGAGAUGGCUUAGUGCUCGAAAGAGAACCGUAACACAGGUGCUGCAUGGCUGUCGUCAGCUCGUGUCGUGAGAUGUUGGGUUAAGUCCCGCAACGAGCGCAACCCUUGUCAUUAUUUGCUACAUUUAGUUGGGCACUCUAAUGAGACUGCCGGUGACAAACCGGAGGAAGGUGGGGAUGACGUCAAGUCCUCAUGGCCCUUAUAGGUGGGGCUACACACGUCAUACAAUGGCUGGUACAAAGGGUUGCCAACCCGCGAGGGGGAGCUAAUCCCAUAAAACCAGUCGUAGUCCGGAUCGCAGUCUGCAACUCGACUGCGUGAAGUCGGAAUCGCUAGUAAUCGUGGAUCANAAUGUCACGGUGAAUACGUUCCCGGGUCUUGUACACNCCGCCCGUCACACCAU